Centropristis striata (black sea bass) is the source of this 710-nucleotide non-coding RNA. The record is from the annotation of a RefSeq genome assembly. NCBI's taxonomy places the organism in Eukaryota, Metazoa, Chordata, Actinopteri, Perciformes, Serranidae.
GCACCAUGCUCCAGUGCUCUGGGAGACUUUAUAGUCCUGAGAGUUGAACACUGGAUGACUGACAGCUGUCCUUCAUGACAACAGAAGCCACAGAAAUCCUCCUCAUCAAAAACAUGACUUUGAUCUGCGUCCUCAUCUGGACUCUCCUCUGCUGCUGCUUCACAGAGUCCAGAGGACAGGUCACAGUGACUCAGUCUGGAGCAGUGAGGUCUGCUCCGGGAGGCUCCGUCUCCAUCAGCUGUAGGACCAGUCAGGAUGUUUAUGUUAUUUUAUUCAACCACUGUUUAGCCUGGUACCAACAGAGAGAUGGAGAAACUCCUAAACUGCUUAUUCACAAUGCUAGCACUCGUCAUUCAGGGACUCCAGGUCGUUUUACAGGCAGUGGAUCAAACUCUGACUUCACUCUGACCAUCAGUGGAGUUCAGGCUGAAGAUGCAGCAGUUUACUACUGUCAGAGUUAUCAUGAGAUCAACAGUCAGGAUGUGCUCACACAGUUCCCCUGGGUUCCAGUGGCUGAACGAGGAGUUACUCCCAUUGGACCACUUCCAGGAGUCUCUGAAAAGGCCGAUCCAGACUUGUCCUCCUGCUGGAACCAGCUCCUGGACCUUCUGGUUCUCUGUCAGGUCUCUCACACUGGCCAGAAACUUGUGUCUGACAGUGACCACCUCCAGCUGUUCACAUCAUCGUACAGCCCGAUCCAGGCGAGCUGA